RNAcentral lists this ribosomal RNA (559 nucleotides) under Antarctic fungal sp. GI910. RNAcentral describes it as "eukaryotic LSU rRNA". The stretch from base 160 to 313 matches the Rfam family "5.8S ribosomal RNA". The record is from RNAcentral. Lineage: Eukaryota; Fungi.
ANCUCGAAAUAUAUAGGACGUCCAACUUAACUUGGAGUCCGAACUCUCACUUUCUAACCCUGUGCAUUUGUUUGGGAUAGUAACUCUCGCAAGAGGGCGAACUCCUAUUCACUUAUAAACACAAAGUCUAUGAAUGUAUUAAAUUUUAUAACAAAAUAAAACUUUCAACAACGGAUCUCUUGGCUCUCGCAUCGAUGAAGAACGCAGCGAAAUGCCAUAAGUAAUGUGAAUUGCAGAAUUCAGUGAAUCAUCGAAUCUUUGAACGCACCUUGCGCUCCAUGGUAUUCCGUGGAGCAUGCCUGUUUGAGUGUCAUGAAUACUUCAACCCUCCUCUUUCUUAAUGAUUGAAGAGGUGUUUGGUUUCUGAGCGCUGCUGGCCUUUAGGGUCUAGCUCGUUCGUAAUGCAUUAGCAUCCGCAAUCGAACUUCGGAUUGACUUGGCGUAAUAGACUAUUCGCUGGAGGAAUUCUAGUCUUCGGACUAGAGCCGGGUUGGGUUAAAGGAAGCUUCUAAUCAGAAUGUCUACAUUUUAAGAUUAGAUCUCAAAUCAGGUAGGACUA